This 253-nucleotide ribosomal RNA is filed under the name uncultured bacterium. Its description in RNAcentral is "partial 16S ribosomal RNA". It matches the Rfam family "Bacterial small subunit ribosomal RNA", at positions 524 to 776 of the family's 1533-position model. The record is from RNAcentral.
GACGGAAGGUGCAAGCGUUGCUCGGAAUUACUGGGCGUAAAGGGCGCGUAGGCGGCCCGCUAAGUCGAACGUGAAAUCCCCGAGCUCAACUCGGGAACUGCGUCCGAUACUGGCGGGCUUGAAUCCGGGAGAGGGAUGCGGAAUUCCAGGUGUAGCGGUGAAAUGCGUAGAUAUCUGGAGGAACACCGGUGGCGAAGGCGGCAUCCUGGACCGGCAUUGACGCUGAGGCGCGAAAGCUAGGGGAGCAAACGGG